Molecule: ribosomal RNA, 254 nt
Filed under: uncultured bacterium
Lineage: Bacteria
Description: partial 16S ribosomal RNA
Rfam family: Bacterial small subunit ribosomal RNA
Source: RNAcentral
UACGUAGGGUGCGAGCGUUGUCCGGAAUUAUUGGGCGUAAAGAGCUCGUAGGCGGUGUGUCGCGUCGGCCGUGAAAACCUGGGGCUCAACUCUGGGCGUGCGGUCGAUACGGGCAUCACUUGAGUUCGGCAGGGGAGGCUGGAAUUCCUGGUGUAGCGGUGAAAUGCGCAGAUAUCAGGAGGAACACCGGUGGCGAAGGCGGGUCUCUGGGCCGAUACUGACGCUGAGGAGCGAAAGCAUGGGUAGCGAACAGG